GGGUAAUGGCCUACCAAGACGAUGAUGUGUAGCUGGACUGAGAGGUUGAACAGCCACAUUGGGACUGAGACACGGCCCAAACUCCUACGGGAGGCAGCAGUAGGGAAUUUUCGGCAAUGGAGGAAACUCUGACCGAGCAACGCCGCGUGAACGACGAAGUACUUUGGUAUGUAAAGUUCUUUUAUCAAGGAAGAAAAGCAAGUGGUGAACCAUUUGUUUGCCGGUACUUGAUGAAUAAGCCCCGGCUAAUUAUGUGCCAGCAGCCGCGGUAAGACAUAAGGGGCAAGUGUUAUCCGGAAUUAUUGGGCGUAAAGGGUGCGUAGGCGGUCUAGUAAGUCAGUGGUGUAAUGGCAACGCUCAACGUUGUCCGGCUAUUGAAACUGCUAAACUUGAGUUAGAUAGAGGCGAGUGGAAUUCCAUGUGUAGCGGUAAAAUGCGUAAAUAUAUGGAGGAACACCAGAGGCGUAGGCGGCUCGCUGGGUCUUAACUGACGCUGAGGCACGAAAGCGUGGGGAGCAAACAGGAUUAGAUACCCUGGUAGUCCACGCCGUAAACGAUGAGUACUAAGUGUCGGGUUAAACCGGUACUGAAGUUAACACAUUAAGUACUCCGCCUGAGUAGUACGUACGCAAGUAUGAAACUUAAAGGAAUUGACGGGACUCCGCACAAGCGGUGGAUCAUGUUGUUUAAUUCGAAGAUACCCGAAAAACCUUACCAGGUCUUGACAUGUUUUUGCGAAACGGUAGUAAUAUCGUGGAGGUUAUCAGAAACACAGGUGGUGCAUGGUUGUCGUCAGCUCGUGUCGUGAGAUGUUAGGUUAAGUCCUAAAACGAGCGAAACCCUUAUCGUUAGUUGCCAGCACGUUAUGGUGGGGACUUUAACGAGACUGCCAGUGAUAAAUUGGAGGAAGGUGAGGAUCACGUCAAAUCAGCAUGCCCCUUAUGACCUGGGCUACAAACGUGAUACAAUGGCUGUUACAAAGGGUAGCUGAAACGCAAGUUCUUGGCCAAUCCCCAAAAACAGUCUCAGUCCGGAUUGAAGUCUGCAACUCG
RNAcentral lists this ribosomal RNA (1052 nucleotides) under Candidatus Phytoplasma citri. Its description in RNAcentral is "bacterial SSU rRNA". It matches the Rfam family "Bacterial small subunit ribosomal RNA", at positions 255 to 1314 of the family's 1533-position model. Lineage: Bacteria; Bacillati; Mycoplasmatota; Mollicutes; Acholeplasmatales; Acholeplasmataceae. The record is from RNAcentral.